UCAAACUUGGUCAUUUAGAGGAAGUAAAAGUCGUAACAAGGUUUCCGUAGGUGAACCUGCGGAAGGAUCAUUAUUGAAUAAACUUGGUCAAGCUGUUGCUGGUCCUUCGGGGCAUGUGCACGCUUGCCACUUUUAUAACCACCUGUGCACCUUUUGUAGACUAGAAACGUUUCUCGAGGCAACUCGGAUUGAGAACUGCUGCGCGCAAGCCAGCUGUUCUUGUGUUUCUCAGUCUAUGUUUUCAUAUACUCCAAAUGUAUGUAUCUGAAUGUAUUGCUGGGCCUUAGUGCCUUUAAAACAAAUACAACUUUCAACAACGGAUCUCUUGGCUCUCGCAUCGAUGAAGAACGCAGC
RNAcentral lists this unclassified non-coding RNA (354 nucleotides) under uncultured fungus. Its description in RNAcentral is "partial contains small subunit ribosomal RNA, internal transcribed spacer 1, and 5.8S ribosomal RNA". The stretch from base 1 to 73 matches the Rfam family "Eukaryotic small subunit ribosomal RNA", at positions 1759 to 1831 of the family's 1831-position model. The record is from RNAcentral. Lineage: Eukaryota; Fungi.